GACUCCGGUUUCUCUUCAGCUCCAAUAAAUCUUUCGCUUUUUACUAAAGAUGUCCGUGGAGAGGGUCACCGGAAGUUUAACUAAAUUUUAAUGAUAUCUGCUGAUAGUAGGGAU
This 114-nucleotide small nuclear RNA is filed under the name Mola mola (ocean sunfish). RNAcentral's name for it is "U5 spliceosomal RNA (ENSMMOG00000020742.1)". It matches the Rfam family "U5 spliceosomal RNA". Rfam says of the family: U5 RNA is a component of both types of known spliceosome. The precise function of this molecule is unknown, though it is known that the 5' loop is required for splice site selection and p220 binding, and that both the 3' stem-loop and the Sm site are important for Sm protein binding and cap methylation. The record is from Rfam by way of RNAcentral. Lineage: Eukaryota; Metazoa; Chordata; Actinopteri; Tetraodontiformes; Molidae.